This 540-nucleotide ribosomal RNA is filed under the name Pseudomonas sp. RNAcentral's name for it is "bacterial SSU rRNA". It matches the Rfam family "Bacterial small subunit ribosomal RNA", at positions 97 to 632 of the family's 1533-position model. Lineage: Bacteria; Pseudomonadati; Pseudomonadota; Gammaproteobacteria; Pseudomonadales; Pseudomonadaceae. The record is from RNAcentral.
GGCGGACGGGUGUAGUAAUGCCUAGGAAUCUGCCUGGUAGUGGGGGACAACGUCUCGAAAGGGACGCUAAUACCGCAUACGUCCUACGGGAGAAAGCAGGGGACCUUCGGGCCUUGCGCUAUCAGAUGAGCCUAGGUCGGAUUAGCUAGUUGGUGAGGUAAUGGCUCACCAAGGCUGCGAUCCGUAACUGGUCUGAGAGGAUGAUCAGUCACACUGGAACUGAGACACGGUCCAGACUCCUACGGGAGGCAGCAGUGGGGAAUAUUGGACAAUGGGCGAAAGCCUGAUCCAGCCAUGCCGCGUGUGUGAAGAAGGUCUUCGGAUUGUAAAGCACUUUAAGUUGGGAGGAAGGGCAGUAAGUUAAUACCUUGCUGUUUUGACGUUACCGACAGAAUAAGCACCGGCUAACUUCGUGCCAGCAGCCGCGGUAAUACGAAGGGUGCAAGCGUUAAUCGGAAUUACUGGGCGUAAAGCGCGCGUAGGUGGUUUGUUAAGUUGGAAGUGAAAGCCCCGGGCUCAACCUGGGAACUGCUUUCAAAA